Molecule: ribosomal RNA, 913 nt
Filed under: uncultured marine archaeon
Lineage: Archaea
Description: bacterial SSU rRNA
Rfam family: Archaeal small subunit ribosomal RNA
Source: RNAcentral
UCCGGUUGAUCCUGCCGGACCUGACUGCUAUCGGAUUGAUACUAAGCCAUGCGAGUCAUUGUAGCAAUACAAGGCAUACGGCUCAGUAACGCGUAGUCAACCUAACCUAUGGACGGGAAUAACCUCGGGAAACUGAGAAUAAUGCCCGAUAGAACAUUAUACCUGGAAUGGUUUAUGUUCCAAAUGAUUUAUCGCCAUAGGAUGGGACUGCGGCCUAUCAGUUUGUUGGUGAGGUAAUGGCCCACCAAGACUAUUACAGGUACGGGCUCUGAGAGGAGUAGCCCGGAGAUGGGUACUGAGACACGGACCCAGGCCCUAUGGGGCGCAGCAGGCGAGAAAACUUUGCAAUGUGCGAAAGCACGACAAGGUUAAUCCGAGUGAUUUCUGCUAAAGAGAUCUUUUGUUAGUCCUAGAAACACUAACGAAUAAGGGGUGGGCAAGUUCUGGUGUCAGCCGCCGCGGUAAAACCAGCACCUCAAGUGGUCAGGAUGAUUAUUGGGCCUAAAGCAUCCGUAGCCGGCUCUGUAAGUUUUCGGUUAAAUCUGUACGCUCAACGUACAGGCUGCCGGGAAUACUGCAGAACUAGGGAGUGGGAGAGGUAGACGGUACUCGGUAGGAAGUGGUAAAAUGCUUUGAUCUAUCGAUGACCACCUGUGGCGAAGGCGGUCUACCAGAACACGUCCGACGGUGAGGGAUGAAAGCUGGGGGAGCAAACCGGAUUAGAUACCCGGGUAGUCCCAGCUGUAAACUAUGCAAACUCAGUGAUGCAUUGGCUUGUGGCCAAUGCAGUGCUGCAGGGAAGCCGUUAAGUUUGCCGCCUGGGAAGUACGUACGCAAGUAUGAAACUUAAAGGAAUUGGCGGGGGAGCACCACAAGGGGUGAAGCCUGCGGUUCAAUUGGAGUCAACGCCGGA